UGCCAGCAGCCGCGGUAAUACGGGGGGGGCAAGCGUUGUUCGGAAUUACUGGGCGUAAAGGGCUCGUAGGCGGCCAACUAAGUCGGAUGUGAAAUCCCCAGGCUUAACCUGGGAACUGCAUCCGAUACUGGAUGGCUUGAAUCCGGGAGAGGGAUGCAGAAUUCCAGGUGUAGCGGUGAAAUGCGUAGAUAUCUGGAGGAAUACCGGUGGCGAAGGCGGCAUCCUGGACCGGCAUUGACGCUGAUGAGCGAAAGCUAGGGGAGCAAACGGGAUUAGAUACCCCGGUAGUCCUAGCCCUAAACGAUGAAUGCUUGGUGUGACGGGUAUCGAUCCCUGUCGUGCCGAAGCUAACGCAUUAAGCAUUCCGCCUGGGGAGUACGGUCGCAAGGCUGAAACUCAAAGGAAUUGAUCGGGGGCCCGCACAAG
RNAcentral lists this ribosomal RNA (426 nucleotides) under uncultured bacterium. Its description in RNAcentral is "bacterial SSU rRNA". It matches the Rfam family "Bacterial small subunit ribosomal RNA", at positions 506 to 929 of the family's 1533-position model. The record is from RNAcentral.